Molecule: ribosomal RNA, 773 nt
Filed under: uncultured Neocallimastigales
Lineage: Eukaryota; Fungi; Neocallimastigomycota; Neocallimastigomycetes; Neocallimastigales
Description: partial large subunit ribosomal RNA
Rfam family: Eukaryotic large subunit ribosomal RNA
Source: RNAcentral
UAUCUCUGUAGAGUCUGCAUAUCAAUAAGCGGAGGAAAAGAAACUAACUAGGAUUCCCUCAGUAACGGCGAGUGAAGCGGGAAGAGCUCAAAUUUGAAAUCUUCAAGGUUCUACCUUGACGAAUUGUAGUUUAAAGAAGUGUUUUCUGUUGGAGUUUUGGUAAAAGUUCUUUGGAAUAGGACAUCAUAGAGGGUGAGAAUCCCGUAUUUGACCAUUAUUUCCAGCUUUGUGAUACACUUUCAAAGAGUCGGAUUGUUUGGGAAUGCAGUCCAAAUGGGUGGUAAAUUUCAUCUAAAGCUAAAUAUUGGCGAGAGACCGAUAGCGAACAAGUACCGUGAGGGAAAGAUGAAAAGAACUUUGAAAAGAGAGUUAAACAGUACGUGAAAUUGUCAAAAGGGAAGCGUUUGACACCAGUGUUGUUUUCUCGAAAAUCAAUUAAAAAUGGCGGGAUUUUGUGUUGUAUUGACUUUAUCAGCUUUCUGCACUCUUUUCCUGUCUUUUUUAAUGCACUUUUCGUUUAACAAGUCAACAUCAAUUUCUUUUGUUGUAAAAGAGUCAUUGGAAGGUGGCUUUCUUUUCGGAGAAAGUGUUUAUAGCCUUUGGCUUCUGCAAUCGGAGAGAUUGAGGUCUGCAGCGUAGAUCCUUCGGGGUUAGAUACAUUUGUGCUAAGUUAUAGCCUUUCAUAGACAACUUGUUGACUAUGAUCAGUCAUGUAGCUUACUCGCUUAUGCUAUUUUACCUACGCUUAGGAUGUUGAGUCAUCACACAUCUCU